GUGGGGAAUCUUAGACAAUGGGGGCAACCCUGAUCUAGCCAUGCCGCAUGAGUGAUGAAGGCCUUAGGGUUGUAAGGCUCUUUCAGUGGGGAAGAUAAUGACGGUACCCACAGAAGAAGCCCCGGCUAACUCCGUGCCAGCAGCCGCGGUAAUACGGAGGGGGCUAGCGUUGUUCGGAAUUACUGGGCGUAAAGCGCACGUAGGCGGAUCGGAAAGUUGGGGGUGAAAUCCCAGGGCUCAACCCUGGAACUGCCUUCAAAACUAUCGGUCUGGAGUCCGAGAGAGGUGAGUGGAAUUCCGAGUGUAGAGGUGAAAUUCGUAGAUAUUCGGAGGAACACCAGUGGCGAAGGCGGCUCACUGGCUCGGUACUGACGCUGAGGUGCGAAAGCGUGGGGAGCAAACAGGAUUAGAAACCCGGGUAGUCC
This 425-nucleotide ribosomal RNA is filed under the name uncultured bacterium. RNAcentral's name for it is "partial 16S ribosomal RNA". It matches the Rfam family "Bacterial small subunit ribosomal RNA", at positions 354 to 796 of the family's 1533-position model. The record is from RNAcentral.